This 1638-nucleotide ribosomal RNA is filed under the name Triticum aestivum (bread wheat). RNAcentral describes it as "partial small subunit ribosomal RNA". Lineage: Eukaryota; Viridiplantae; Streptophyta; Magnoliopsida; Poales; Poaceae. The record is from RNAcentral.
AUGUAUGUGUUGUGGAAGUCGGUGGCAUUGGCACACUACCAAUUUGUUAUCCCGGCUGCAUUUCUAUUUGUUGCCGGGAUCAUCAAGUAUGGAGAGAGGAUUUGGGCACUCAAGUUGGGGAGCCAGAAAGGCCUGAGGACCUCCACUAGCGGAGAAGCAAAGAAGGCAUCCCUGGAAGUAGAGGAAAGUGGAAAAUAUAUUCGGACAUAUCAAGCAAUUAUCAAGUAUGCUGCUCUUCACACCAAGGGAGCCGUGCGGGGUAUAUUCGCUGGACAGGCUAUCUACAACAUCGAAGAGCACACUCGUGGUAAAUUUCUACAUGGACAUCUCUAUGCUCUGAAGCAUCCACAAGACAAGUUCAAGAGAGUGGAGAUUGAGCUUAGUAUAAUGUAUGACAGCCUCUUCACGAAAUCCCGGGUGAUUCAAACAACGGCCGGCGCCAUCCUUCGGUGUGUCUCCCUCGCCUCCACAGUGGUUGCCUUUGUGCUUUACGUCAAGAUGAUGAUGAGUAGUAGUGUCAAUGCUGAGGAGCACACAACAGUUGCAUACAAGGACGACUAUAGAAGAAGUGGAAUUGAUGCUCUGAGAAUUGAUGCUGCACACAACAGUUGCACACAACAGUUGCACACAACAUUUUUCCUCGAAGCUUGCUCAUUCUUCAUCGUGAUGAUGUCACCAUGGCAGUGGCCAUUCUUGGAAGCUCGAGCUGGAUGGUAUAGUCGUGUGCUGCUCAACCGAGUGGCAUGGCCAAUCUUCAUGAAGAUCCAACCAGAGACCAAGCCAUGGUGGUCAAACUCAAUGGGGCAGUACAACUUGUUUAGCUCCAGCAGGAGCAUGUCAGCUGAAGGCCACAGGAGGUGGAAUAGAACCAUCAGCAUGGCAAAGAAGAUGGCAGGCGUGUUUGGAGCUACUGAUGCAUGGAACAAGAUAAGCAACACCAAGCACACCCAAGUCACGAGGGAGAUCAAGGAUCUCAUCCACGGCUUGGUAGGCUUUGCGUCGGGGGUACCUCAAUCCAUCCCUGUUCCAAGGACUUAUAAAGUACUAUUGUCUCUCUCCUUCGAGGAGUCCUUGUUGACGCUACACGUUUGGACAGACGUGGUGCUACAGAAGGCGGCCAAGUCGACAAUGGUGACAUAUAGCAACCCCACCACCCAAGACCAAGAGGCAGCAAGGCGGCAAUGUCUUAUGGAUACCUGCAAGAGACUAUCUGACUACAUGGUGUACCUGAUGGUGACGCACCCUGCCAUGCUACCCACCAGCGCCAACGUGCAGGAUCUACUGGCCAAGGCCUCACGGUGGGCCAACAAUGCAUCCAGCAUCGAGGAUUUUCUUUAUGAGUUGGGGAGAUUUUAUGUGUUUAGAAAUGAUUUCUGGCACUUGCAAAGAGGGGUGCUGGAAAGCCAAAGAGGCAUCCACGCGGAGCUUGAGAGACUGGAGCAGGUGUGGGUGAGGAUGCUGGUCUACGCAGCCGGAAAAUGCCGGCCAGAAGAGCAUGCCCGAAGGCUGAGUGCUGGGGGAGAGCUCAUCACCUUCGCUUGGAUGCUCUCCGCGCAACAGAACCUCAGUGUCAGUCUUUUCUCAGGACAAACCGUCCCAGGAGCAAAUCUUUUGGAAUUUGAGCCAUCUGCAAAUUAA